AGGACAUGUUGUGCGAUGCUUAUUCUAAGCUUAACUCAGUUCCCAUAUUCACAGACAUAAAAGGACAGCAAGAAAGAAAAAAGAAGAUGAAUAGUUUUGGUGGAAGCCCCGUCUUUCAUGCAGCCUCGGAGGGUCAUUCGUGGUACAGCAGGAGUCGGGAGGCAGGGGGUUGGCCCAGGCUCAUCGACAACUAGCUGAUUUAAAGAGUAUAAUGCAUCCUGUAAGUAGUUACUUUGAUCUUUUCUACCCAUAAUUAUGCUUGUCAGAAAAUAAGGGGGGAAAUCACUGCAAGUCAAAACUUUUGCUGAAAGAUAAGAUGUUAUGAUCUGCUGCUAAUUACAUUCCUGCAAUUAAGAAGUUGGGGCUGAUCGCUCAAAGCUUCCAAUACAUAAAAAUCAGCAGCCAUUUUAGUUGAAAUGCUACAUCCUGUGACCUGUUUUUAAUUGACUUUCCUCCUCCUCGCUCUUCAAAGCAGGACUCUGCCAAAGCCACCAGCUUCUGACUUUGAAGCUCCCUUGAAAUAGAGAGAAAAAACAAAGGCCAAAAGUCAAGGGCUUUCAACUGCAUAUGGUUUAGGCCAAAUUUACAAAUGUCUUUUUUCUCCCCCCUGGUUUCUCAAUAGGUUACUUUUAGUGAGUUCUUUGAUCUAGAAAAACAAAAACAGAAACUACGACACUGCGUAUUGAUCAUGUUUAAAAAUUUUUUUUGAUAAUCAGUCUAGUCACAAGUGUCUGUUCUUUUAAUUUUUUC
RNAcentral lists this long non-coding RNA (750 nucleotides) under Sus scrofa (pig). RNAcentral describes it as "lncRNA (ENSSSCG00065022149.1)". The record is from RNAcentral. Lineage: Eukaryota; Metazoa; Chordata; Mammalia; Artiodactyla; Suidae.